AAAAAGCGCAGAUGGCGUGAAGAUGUUUGUUGAGCCACUCUUUUGUCUUUGAUACUCACUGGCAAUGGCUUAUUGGUUUCUGUUUGUGACCACACUGUUGACCCUGCGAUUGCAAGAAUCCAGUGGUCAAAUAACAACUAGACAGUUUCCUUCAAGUCUGUCCCCUCAGGCUGGAGAAACUGUCACAAUCCACUGCAAGGUCUUCAGCUCCACUAGCAUUUUCAGUAGUAGUUACCUGUCCUGGUACCAGCAGAGAUCAGGAGAAGAUCCUAAAUUUCUAAUUUAUGCUGCAAGCUCUCAGGCUUCUGGAAUUUCAAGUCGUUUCAGUAGCAGCGGCUAUGGACUCGAUUACACACUGACAAUCAGUGACGUACAGCCUGAAGACGCAGGACAUUACUACUGUAAGCAAGACAGGAGUACUCCUUUCACACAGUGA
Non-coding RNA from Erpetoichthys calabaricus (reedfish), 436 nucleotides. NCBI's taxonomy places the organism in Eukaryota, Metazoa, Chordata, Cladistia, Polypteriformes, Polypteridae. The record is from the annotation of a RefSeq genome assembly.